Rosa chinensis is the source of this 1186-nucleotide long non-coding RNA. RefSeq lists it as uncharacterized. Lineage: Eukaryota; Viridiplantae; Streptophyta; Magnoliopsida; Rosales; Rosaceae. The record is from RefSeq and is a predicted model, not a curated record. The transcript is spliced from 5 exons.
GCGAUUGUCCAUAGGCAGACUUGAUAGGCUCGAUCUCUUUCACAGGAUGACAUCUUGGCGUGAUCAGAUUAUGAUAGAGAUAACUUUCAAGAUAAAGCUUGGCUCUUAUAGUUCAAUUUGGAAAAGACGUCUGGGUUUGCCGUUCUGUAUAAGAGCACCCUUCCCUUUGAUUCUGCAUUCUCCAUCAAGAACGUGCAUUGGGCAUACCGAGCUGAACUAGACGUGGCCUCCCCUCAAGAUUUUUGACAUAUCUCCACCGCCAAGCUUCGUAGCUACUUGAGAAGUGACCUCUGCUUCUUUAAUUAAGGACAUCAUUUUGAAGGAAAACAUUAAUUGCAGGCGGUAUUCAAACCAUUGCUUUACAGAGAAUCUGAGAGAAUAUUUUUGGCAGUCUGUCUUUGAUAGGCUCGGGAAUAUGGUUAAUUUGGCGCUUCUGAGAUAUGUUCGGUACUCGUAUUUUGAUAUUAUUGAUGUUUAGUUUCUCUAUGUUUUAUUUGUUGUUUAGUAGCCCGACGUUGUUUGGUGUGAUAGGGAAUCCAUUUUUAGCCCCAACACCGACAUGGUCUGAUUUGUGCCCAACCCUAAAUGCGCAUCAACUCUUUGACCUUCAGGUUAUUUUUUGGGGGAGGAAUUGUUUUACCAAGACCUCGAAGUCAAAGUAUAGUAAGAGUGAAAAUGUCUUUCAUUCCCUUGUCUUUGUAGUAAUACUUCUGUAAUUUAGCCAUCGACUGGCUGUAGAAUCAACUAGAAACCAAAGUUGAACCAAGAACAUCUAGCUGAUCAUGCAUAUCUGACCCUCAAUUUAUCUGAUAUGCAAGUUGUAUAACAAAUUUGACGAGCUAGGGAUGAGGAUUUGUUAUCUCGACGACAGUUAUCUCAACAAGCAGUGAAGCAUAUAAUUCCAACAUGACGCAUGUGCCAAUACGCAGCAAUAUAGGAAUAUAAGAACAAUAAAGAGACAUCAAAUUUAACUUGGAAACCCUUCAAUGUGAAGAAAAAAAACCACGGGACAAACUCCGAAAAACUUCCACUAUGAAAAUGGGAUUACAAUCACCAAUCUCUCUAGAACACUAGAGGAAAAACUCUCCAGAGAAACACUCUUGGGUAUACACUCACAAGAAUAUUGUAAAAGCAGGAUUUCUUCUCUCUCUCCUUUUACAACUCUCUCUCACUUUCUCUGUUUCUG